AGUGAACGCUGGCGGUAGGCCUAACACAUGCAAGUCGAACGGCAACACAGUAAGAGCUUGCUCUUACGGGUGGCGAGUGGGAGACGGGUGAGGAAUACAGCGGAAUCUACUUUUUCGUGGGGGAUAACGUAGGGAAACUUACGCUAAUACCGCAUACGACCUACGGGUGAAAGCAGGGGAUCGUCGGACCUUGCGCGAUUGAAUGAGCCGAUGUCGGGGUAGCUAGUUGGCGGGGUAAAGGCACACCAAGGCGACGAUGAGUAGUUGGUCGGAUAGGAUGGUCAGCCACACUGGAGCUGAGGCACGGUCCAGACUCCUCCGGGGGGCAGCAGUGGUGAAUAUUAGACAACGGGGGGAGGAAGGAUGCAGCCAUACCGCGGCGGUGAAGAAGGCGUUCGGGUUGUAGAGACCUUUUGUUGGGAGAGAAGCGCAGCAGGUUAAUACGUCGCUGUUCUGACGGUACCCAAAGAAUAAGCACCGGCUAACUUCGUG
RNAcentral lists this ribosomal RNA (492 nucleotides) under uncultured bacterium. Its description in RNAcentral is "partial 16S ribosomal RNA". It matches the Rfam family "Bacterial small subunit ribosomal RNA", at positions 30 to 507 of the family's 1533-position model. The record is from RNAcentral.